Anguilla rostrata (American eel) is the source of this 1840-nucleotide long non-coding RNA. RefSeq lists it as uncharacterized. The record is from RefSeq and is a predicted model, not a curated record. The transcript is spliced from 3 exons. Lineage: Eukaryota; Metazoa; Chordata; Actinopteri; Anguilliformes; Anguillidae.
AUUGAGUCGUAUGGUUUUGUGAGGUGUGUGCCACAAAAUACGGACUCUCAUACUUUUCACCAAACAAAACACCACUCCUUUAUUAUUUUACGUUCUUUUGUCUGUUAACCGUUAUUUUCUAAUUCUUUCACCAUGUGUUGUCUCUGCGCAUACGUCUGAAUUAAACCAGCAGAUCUGCAUUAUUCUGUCAAAUGGUUUUAUGACGUGUGUCUGAUGUAAUUAAAGCCCAAACUGGGAGGUACAGUAUGUGCAAUUUUUUUAUAAGACGUUUUCUCAGUACAGUAUAAAACAGAAUAACAGCAGCCAAUUACGCAGUGUUAUUGACCAAACUGAGGAGGUAAAGCACUGAGUUUUCACCUGGGUAGCCUACUGAAGAAUCUAAUGCCUGAUUGGUGAGAAGAAGCUGCAGGUACAGAGCUGACGGACCAAGUGUUCUGGAGUGAGCAGCACUUCCAUUUCCUGUUCAACCUCCCCCACCCCUGAGUGAAUCUCCAAACUGCCAAGCUCAGAAAAGACGGAAACAACAACAGAAAGGGUAAAAUGGUCACCCAAAGAAAUGCAACAAUGGUAAGGCACUAAGCUGAAGUGAUAGAGUGAGAUCUGAAAAAAAAGAAACUUUUGGGACGUCUGAAGCAGAGGAACUCAACUUUUGUGAUGUCUGAAGCAGAGGAACUCUACUGUAUGUGACAUCUGAAGCAGAGGAACUCUACUGUAUGUGACAUCUGAAGCAGAGGAACUCUACUGUAUGUGACAUCUGAAGCAGAGAAACUCUACUGUGUGAAUUAUGAAUCAGGGCAACUUUAAUGUAACUUCAGACACAAUGCAACCAGGAACAAGCGCAACACAGACAGAGAUUAAGCCGAUAUGUAUAAUGUCCUGGAAUAUAAAUGGGAUUUCAAAAGAAACCACAAGAGCAAAGAAAUUAGGUGCCAUGGCUGGGAUAGCCGAAAAGGAGAAUGUUAACAUUAUUUGUCUUCAGGAGACUCGCAUUGGACGAAAUGGCACUAAUGUAUUUCACACUUUCAGUGAAUGGGAGCAUUUCUACACAAAGAUUGAUACAUACCGCAGAGGAGUUGCCAUUCUCAUUCGAAAGGACAUUGGUUUUCAGCUGUUAAAUAAAAAAUUAGCUCAUACAGGAGAUUACAUUGUAGUGAAAUGUAAACUACAAGGCCAGCUUUACACCAUUGUGAGCAUAUACCACCAUCGGCAAGACGAAGCUGCUUUGGACAGACUCCGAAAAUACUUAACGAGGAAUACUGAAGGAGAGUUGAUGAUUGGAGGAGACUUCAACACUGUUUUCAACCCGGUCUUGGACAAGACAUCAACACUACCAAACAAGAAACAUGAUGAUAGGCGGAGAAGUGUACAGAAAAUGAUAACAUACCUUGACCUUGUGGAUGUCUGGAGAGAAAUCCACCCAGAGACGAUAGAAUACACAUACCAUCAAAAUGAGACCAGGUCCAGAUUAGAUUACAUCUUCAUAAAGAGAGAGUCCAUGCAGCAAGUCGAAAAAUGUGAAAUCCUUGUUGAGACUACAGAGUACUCAGACCAUAAACCUGUCUUGCUCCAGCUUAAAUCAGAGACCGAUAUUAUGAAUAAAAUAUCUCAUAAGUCUCUAGGUAGUAAUAAUGAUGAUGAUGCUGCUGCUGCUGCUGCUGCUGCUGCUGAUGCUGCUGUUGAUGCUGCUGAUGCUGCUGCUUUUGCUGCUGAUGCUGCUGAUGCUGCUGAUCGUGCUGCUGAUGCUGCUGAUGCUACUGAUACUGCUGCUGAUAAAGCUGCUGAUGCUAAAGCUGCUGCUGCUAGAGCUGCUGAUGCUGCUGAAGAUGCAAAAGCUGCUGCU